Molecule: ribosomal RNA, 253 nt
Filed under: uncultured bacterium
Lineage: Bacteria
Description: partial 16S ribosomal RNA
Rfam family: Bacterial small subunit ribosomal RNA
Source: RNAcentral
UACGUAGGGGGCUAGCGUUGUCCGGAAUCAUUGGGCGUAAAGCGCGUGUAGGCGGUUGCCCAAGUCGGGUGUGAAAGCCUUGAGCUCAACUCAAGAAAUGCACUCGGUACUGGGUGACUAGAGGACCGGAGAGGAUAGUGGAAUUCCCAGUGUAGUGGUGAAAUACGUAGAGAUUGGGAAGAACACCAGUGGCGAAGGCGGCUAUCUGGACGGUUUCUGACGCUAAGACGCGAAAGCGUGGGGAGCAAACAGG